UCAUUACUGUAUUUUGCAACUACAUCUUUGUGUUGAAACCAUCCCUCAUUACAUUCUUUUCUGCACCUGAAUCCAAGCAAGGUUAAGCCCAGUUACAUGACCUGUUUUCAUUCCACAGGUCACCCCAUCCCACAAGCAGCAAUCUGUACCCUCUUUCCACGACUCUGUCUUGGGAUGCUGUUAAUUCCAUGAAGCAGAGCUAUCAAUGGAAAAGGAGUCUUUGAAUUGGAGCAAAGAAAGACUUUGGUCAUGAGCACAAAAAUGAGAUGAAGAAAUUGUUGAAAGGAAAUGGAAGAGAAACAGAAUGAAAGAGAGGGACGGUGGUGAAAACCCCAUGUUUGGCCUUACAGGAUUUAGUAGUAUAUUUGGGAGAGAUGAGGAAUAAAGAAAGGCAUUGUUUGUAUAUUUAGUGGUAUAUUUAUAGACAAAGCAAUCUUAGAUUGUAUACUGACGAAAUCGAAGUCACUGACCGACCAAAUCUCAAGUACAAGAGUGAGUAGUACGUGCGCAAAGCAAUGGGGGCACUAAAGACUUUGCACUUAUAUAUCGUUUCUCGUGACCCAAAAGUACUCUUUGUGCGCGCUCGGUAAUGUAUAACAGUUUAAAAAUCGUGACAGCUUAAUUUGAAUGUUCAGAGAUGUUUUUCCAAAUUGUAUUUAGCAAUGAGGUUUAUGCGAA
Molecule: long non-coding RNA, 678 nt
Filed under: Populus tremula
Lineage: Eukaryota; Viridiplantae; Streptophyta; Magnoliopsida; Malpighiales; Salicaceae
Description: long non-coding RNA (PTRE_LNC000675)
Source: RNAcentral